UACGAAGGGGGCUAGCGUUGCUCGGAAUUACUGGGCGUAAAGGGCGCGUAGGCGGACAGUUUAGUCAGAGGUGAAAGCCCAGGGCUCAACCUUGGAAUUGCCUUUGAUACUGGCUGUCUUGAGUUCGGGAGAGGUGAGUGGAAUGCCGAGUGUAGAGGUGAAAUUCGUAGAUAUUCGGCGGAACACCAGUGGCGAAAGCGACUCACUGGCCCGAUACUGACGCUCAUGCACGAAAGCGUGGGGAGCAAACAGG
RNAcentral lists this ribosomal RNA (253 nucleotides) under uncultured bacterium. Its description in RNAcentral is "partial 16S ribosomal RNA". It matches the Rfam family "Bacterial small subunit ribosomal RNA", at positions 524 to 776 of the family's 1533-position model. The record is from RNAcentral.